Molecule: ribosomal RNA, 600 nt
Filed under: uncultured bacterium
Lineage: Bacteria
Description: bacterial SSU rRNA
Rfam family: Bacterial small subunit ribosomal RNA
Source: RNAcentral
AUGCCUAAUACAUGCAAGUCGAGCGAAUGGAUUAAGAGCUUGCUCUUAUGAAGUUAGCGGCGGACGGGUGAGUAACACGUGGGUAACCUGCCCAUAAGACUGGGAUAACUCCGGGAAACCGGGGCUAAUACCGGAUAACAUUUUGAACCGCAUGGUUCGAAAUUGAAAGUGCGGCUNUCGUGCUGUCACUUAUGGAUGGACCCGCGUCGCAUUAGUUAGUUGGCGGGGUAACGGCCCACCAAGACGAUGAUCGGUAUCCGGCCUGAGAGGGCGCACGGACACACUGGAACUGAAACACGGUCCAGACUCCUACGGGAGGCAGCAGUGGGGAAUUUUGCGCAAUGGGGGAAACCCUGACGCAGCAACGCCGCGUGGAGGAUGAAAUCCCUUGGGAUGUAAACUCCUUUCGAUCGGGACGAUUAUGACGGUACCGGAAGAAGAAGCCCCGGCAUAACUUCGUGCCAGCAGCCGCGGUAAUACGAGGGGGGCAAGCGUUGUNCGGAAUCAUCUGGGCGUAAAGGGGCGCGUAGGCGGUCUUGACAAAGUUCUGAUGUGAAAUUCUCUGGGCUCAACCCAGAGUCUGCAUUAGAAACUGUCCGG